Molecule: unclassified non-coding RNA, 345 nt
Filed under: soil metagenome
Description: partial contains 5.8S ribosomal RNA, internal transcribed spacer 2, and large subunit ribosomal RNA
Rfam family: 5.8S ribosomal RNA (bases 1-120)
Source: RNAcentral
GAUGAAGAACGCAGCGAAAUGCGAUAAGUAAUGUGAAUUGCAGAAUUCCGUGAAUCAUCGAAUCUUUGAACGCACAUUGCGCCCUCUGGUAUUCCGGGGGGCAUGCCUGUCCGAGCGUCAUUUGCAACCCUCAAGCCCGGCUUGUGUGAUGGGUGCCGUCCCCUACGGGACGCGCCCCGAAGGCAAUGGCGGCGUCGCGGUUAUCCGAUCAGCCAAAGUGUAUGUGGCUUUGUCACUCACUUUACGGCCCGGACCGGCGCCAGUCCGAAUCAAUCUUUUUUCUAAAGUUGACCUCGGAUCAGGUAGGGAUACCCGCUGAACUUAAGCAUAUCAAUAAGCGGAGGA